RNAcentral lists this ribosomal RNA (361 nucleotides) under uncultured bacterium. RNAcentral describes it as "bacterial SSU rRNA". It matches the Rfam family "Bacterial small subunit ribosomal RNA", at positions 8 to 353 of the family's 1533-position model. The record is from RNAcentral.
AGAGUUUGAUCAUGGCUCAGGAUGAACGCUAGCGACAGGCUUAACACAUGCAAGUCGGAGGGGCAGCAUGAUUUGUAGCAAUACAGAUUGAUGGCGACCGGCGCACGGGUGAGUAACGCGUAUGCAACUUACCUAUCAGGAGGGGAUAGCCCGGCGAAAGUCGGAUUAACUACCCCAAUAAAACGAGGGGCCCCGCAGUGGGAAUUAUUUGUUAAAGAUUCAUCGCUGAUAGAUAGGCAUGCGUUCCAUUAGGCAGUUGGCGGGGUAACGGCCCACCAAACCGACGAUGGAUAGGGGUUCUGAGAGGAAGGUCCCCCACAUUGGUACUGAGACACGGACCAAACUCCUACGGGAGGCAGCA